RNAcentral lists this ribosomal RNA (621 nucleotides) under Penaeus monodon (black tiger shrimp). RNAcentral describes it as "partial 12S ribosomal RNA". It matches the Rfam family "Eukaryotic small subunit ribosomal RNA", at positions 568 to 1806 of the family's 1831-position model. Lineage: Eukaryota; Metazoa; Arthropoda; Malacostraca; Decapoda; Penaeidae. The record is from RNAcentral.
CAGCAGCCGCGGUUAGACUGAGAGGUAAAAUGAAAGAAAUUUGGUUAAAAACAGUUAUAUUUAUUAAUUUUUUUUUCUUUUAAAGGACUAUAUUAAUAAAGGGUGAAAUCAGUUUUUUAAUAAAUAGUAAAAUAAAAGUCUUAAUUUUAAUUGAAGCUGUUAAGAUAAAGGGAUGAACCAGGAUUAGAUACCCUGUUACACUUUAUUUGAAUUAUAAUUACCUGGGUACUAAACAGUUAUUAUCUUGAAACUCAAAGGAUUUGGCGGUAACUUAGUCUAUUUAGAGGAACCUGUCCUGUAAUCGAUAAACCACGAAAGAUCUUACUUUAUCUUGUAACUAUUACAGUUUGUAUACCGUCAUUAUUAGGUAACUUUAAUAAAAUGUAGAGUUAUUGAAAUAGUUUAGCUAGUAUAUUAGAUCAAGGUGCAGCUUAUGAUAAAGGAAGAGAUGGGUUACAAUAUAUUAAAGUAUACGAAAUAAUAAAGGAACUUUUGUUAUUGAAGGUGGAUUUAAAAGUAAAAAGAUUUUAAUAAGGUCUUUUGAUUUUAGCUCUAGGUUAUGUACACAUCGCCCGUCGCUCUCGUCAAUUUAUGCGAGAUAAGUCGUAACAAAGUAGGUGU